RNAcentral lists this ribosomal RNA (582 nucleotides) under uncultured bacterium. RNAcentral describes it as "partial 16S ribosomal RNA". It matches the Rfam family "Bacterial small subunit ribosomal RNA", at positions 355 to 1375 of the family's 1533-position model. The record is from RNAcentral.
UGGGGAAUUUUGGACAAUGGGCGAAAGCCUGAUCCAGCAAUGCCGCGUGUGUGAAGAAGGCCUUCGGGUUGUAAAGCACUUUUGUCCGGAAAGAAAUCCUUGGCUCUAAUACAGUCGGGGGAUGACGGUACCGGAAGAAUAAGCACCGGCUAACUACGUGCCAGCAGCCGCGGUAAUACGUAGGGUGCAAGCGUUAAUCGGAAUUACUGGGCGUAAGCGUGCGCAGGCGGUUUGCUAAGACCGAUGUGAAAUCCCCGGGCUCAACCUGGGAACUGCAUUGGUGACUGGCAGGCUAGAGUAUGGCAGAGGGGGGUAGAAUUCCACGUGUAGCAGUGAAAUGCGUAGAGAUGUGGAGGAAUACCGAUGGCGAAGGCAGCCCCCUGGGCCAAUACUGACGCUCAUGCACGAAAGCGUGGGGAGCAAACAGGAUUAGAUACCCUGGUAGUCCACGCCCUAAACGAUGUCAACUAGUUGUUGGGGAUUCAUUUCCUUAGUAACGUAGCUAACGCGUGAAGUUGACCGCCUGGGGAGUACGGUCGCAAGAUUAAACUUAAUGAAUUGACGGGGUCAUAGCUGUUUCCU